GACGAACGCUGGCGGCAUGCCUAAUACAUGCAAGUCGAGCGAACAGAUGAAGUGCUUGCACUUCUGACGUUAGCGGCGAACGGGUGAGUAACACGUAAGGAAUCUACCUAUAAGCGGGGGAUAACAUUCGGAAACGGGUGCUAAUACCGCAUAAUAUCUUCUUCCGCAUGGAAGAAGAUUGAAAGACGGCUCUGCUGUCACUUAUAGAUGACCUUGCGGUGCAUUAGUCAGUUGGUGGGGUAACGGCCUACCAAGACGAUGAUGCAUAGCCGACCUGAGAGGGUGAUCGGCCAAAUUGGGACUGGGACACGGCCCAACAUCCGACGGGAGGCAGCAGUAGGGAAUCUUCCGCAAUGGGCGAAAGCCUGACGGAGCAAUGCCGCGUGAGUGAAGAAGGCCUUCGGGUCGUAAAACUCUGUUAUAAGAGAAGAACAAAUUGUAGAGUAACUGCUACAGUCUUGACGGUAUCUUAUCAGAAAGCCACGGCUAACUACGUGCCAGCAGCCGCCGUAA
This 513-nucleotide ribosomal RNA is filed under the name uncultured bacterium. Its description in RNAcentral is "partial 16S ribosomal RNA". It matches the Rfam family "Bacterial small subunit ribosomal RNA", at positions 28 to 523 of the family's 1533-position model. The record is from RNAcentral.